GGCAGGGCAAGGGGGUUGGUUAACAGAACCUUCCGGAGACAUCAACCCAGAGAAAAGCCGAGCCUCUCGUGCUCUUUCCUUGGAGCGGCCGCCCACGGCAGAAAGCCACCAGGGUCUCUAGCAUCUCCCAGUGGCCCAGGCCUUGACCGUGCUCACCGCCAAGGCAAGAUGCGGCCGGGCUCCCAGAGACUCUCCCGAGCCCCACGCCUGCCCUCCCCGGUGUGCCACAUGGCCUGAGGAUGGUUCCAGAGUAAACCAUGCCGCCUUUGAGCCCACCCUCUCCCCUGGAAAGGGUAAUCAGAAUUAGUGGCUGCCCGUAAUAACAAAACCCACAAAAGAGAAGCCAGAGCGGGCUGGAGUCUUGUUCUGAGUGCUUUCCCAGGAUGCCAUGCUGACUGGCCAGCUGAUGGUGCCCCCAACCAUCCUGUGCAGCUAAUGGCUCCUGUGUUUCCUGAGAAAGGCCUGGAACAUUCCAUCCAAGCCCCCUCGUGAACCUCUGUCAGUCAGUCCGGCAGGGGCCCAACAACACGCUUAGCGCGCCCGGUUCUUGCGAAGCCAGCCCAGAGCCGCUGCUCCAGGAGCACAGGGGCCCCUGGUGGCGUGCAGUGCCCCCGCUCCGGAACGCUGACCCUGACCGCAGUUGUUCAGAGGGUCGCCCGAUCCCCCGGCGGUCACGUCCCGGCUCCAUAUCCUAUUUAUUGUUUGUGCUGGACAGACUCUUCUCCCUCGUUACUUUGCAGCGUGAGCUCGAGUUUGCUGUGCGUUACGCAGCUAGAGAGAACACGUUGGCCUGUUUCAGUGUGGCUUGUACGAAUAGCUUUAUUCUCAUUUUAAACAGGUUCUCGACUUUUCUGAGGUUUGGGGGUGGGGGGAGUUUUCCAAAACCGCAGAUGACAAUGCAGAACAACCAUUGAAGGUGGUAGCCCCAGCCAGGAGACUGAAUGACACUAGAAAUCAUCAGGAGGAGACCUCCUUGGGACCCCAGAUCACUAUGCAAAACAAAACGAAACGCAACAAGAACCCAGAAGCCCCUGGAUGGCCGGCUCUCUGAAUAACAGUCACUCACCCUGUAGUACUCCUGCCGGCUGCCUGGUCCACCUCUGGCUCAGAAGCCGCUUCCCCGCCAACCUUCCCCAAGGACACAGCCUCUAAGGCACCCCCACCCAUAGCAAGGAAGGGUGUCGGGAUAAAGCGUGGCCUCUGCAGAGCCCUCGUGGCUGGAUCCCGCUGGCCUCCCGGUCACCUGGAUCACGAGCAGGCAAAGAAAUGCCCAAGAAGGAAUCUGGAACUGAAACAGCCCACCAGGCUUGAAAAGUAGAAAGGGAAAAAGCCACACGCUGCACCUGAAGAAGAAAGGGAAUGGUUUUCCUGAACGCUUCCAGUUAUCCCCUCGCCUAGGGUGGGGAAGUCAUCCUAGACUCAACGGAAAGGAAAUCCCCAUUUGGGAGUGAGAUCUCAGCGCCUGCGUUUUACGCGAAACUGGUUAGGUGUCCGCUGAGUUUUAAAGUGUUUUUAGGAGUUUCAUUUUUUAAGGCCCACCUUGGUACCCACACGUGAGAAUCCCACCCUUGGCUCGGAGGUGUUGAGAAUUAAGGCAGAGAGAAGCCAUCCGUGAUUCCAAGAACCAGGAGUCUUGCAGCAGAAACGAGCCAGCCAGCCAGGUUCGCAAAAACACUUAACCCCGAAAGGCACUUUUUAGUGGCGCCUUGGGUAAGUUUUUUCGUGGCGUUGUGAUUCUUCCGAGGAAACGGGAAUCAUGCCUCUUCCCUUGUAAUGGCUCUUGAAAAAAUAGUGAAGUCUAUCUUUAAAUUUCGGGAGACAUCGCUUCCUUAGACACAGGCUUCCUUAGAACCUUAGGAUGAGUGUUAUCCAGAGAUGCCCCUGCCUCUGGGGGCUGCACAGCGACGCCCAGGCCUUGGCUGGGCAGCUUCCAAAUCAGAAUUGCACUUUAAUUGACUAACCCUCCAUUCUCGAGGCCUUACGGGAUAGUGGGUCUGGGGACCCAUUGCGUUCUUACCUGCCAAAGAACUACCCAGGAGCACAUCAAAUUGCCAACACCCCACCUGCAUGGCGGGGGAGGGGGGGAGGUGAGAAACUUUUGUACCCCAAACAUACUUCUUUAUAGCAUCUGCGGCACUGUUUGGAACUGUUUUCUUUUUAACCUCAGGAUUUAAAUAAAGCAAACACUAUGACACAGGGAGUAGCGUCGUCUUUCUUUGCACCAGGACCCGAGGCGAGUGACGAAGUUACCCAAACCGGACCGGGGGUGUGGAGUCACCCUGCUGGGACAUAGAGCAUCGGCUUGUACCCCGGCUUUUUAGAAGGGCUCGAGCCACCAGAUGCUCCGGGAGGUUUGCCGUGUGGCCUGGCAUCUGGGUACUCCCACCCCCGCCAACCGUGAGGUCGGCGUUCAGGCCUGCUGGAGUCAAGGCAUCCUUCCAACCCGGCUGCUCUCCGCCAGAUGAGCAGAGAACACAAUGGUGACCUACCAGGACGGUGUGGGGGAGGGGGGGAAGGUCAUGGAUGCCCUAAAACCAUGCUCAGUUGGCCUGUGGUACAAAGCUGGGCAAAACCACAGGGCCACGGCAGCUGGCGGAGGAAGGAGUCACGUUCCCACCGUAACUUAACGCCUACUCCUGCUGAAUCAGCAGAGACCUGACACAGACCCAGAAGGGGCGGGACCCCGUCACCCCUGGACUGGUCAGAUGGAGCACACUCACCCCACACCCCGCAUCUGAGGAUCACAGCCCCCCUUCCCUCCCUCUCCCUUCCUCCUCCAACCCUCCCCCGGCGCCCAGAUUCUCAUGUGGCCUCUUCUCUGAUCAGCUACACAGGAAUAAGUUCUAUUUUCUGUAACCGUAACCAUGUUCUCCCUUGAGGGCAGGCACCGUGUUUCCUUCAUCUCCUUCCUUUCAGCCCCACAGCGUCAAGCAUCAUGCCAGACACAGAAGCGCUCAGCAGUUACCCAGUCAAUGAGGCCACCAGCCGGUCCCCAUGCUUGGUCAGCUCUGAGGCCAUCGCCAAUCCCAUUGGCCAACUUGGCCAGGGACAGGAGCCCCUGUAGCCCCCAUGGCACAGAAGGGCAAGCCUCCAGGAGGGGGUGUGGGGAGAAUGGAGGUCUGCCCUUUCGGUUUGAAGAUGCGUGGGAAAAAUCUGGCGAGGGGAGUUUGCCACCCACACAGAUCGGUGAAACCUGUCACCCUAGAUGAGAAAAUGGACUUUUUUUUUGUUUGUUUGAGAGAGAGCAGUUGAGCCGAAGCCAUCAGAAGCCAGGCGGAGAGCACAGCUAUCAUGAAAGCCGUUCAAAGUGGGUUAGGGUUGACAGAAAGGUCAGCCUUCUGUGUUCCCCACACGGUGGUUUCUGGAGGAGGGUGAACCCGAGCACAAGUGUGAUCGCCGGCCUCUGGGGUUUGAUACCUGUACCCCCGUCUCUCCCCAGCCCCCCUCCUUACCCCCCCCCCCCCCCCCGCGCUCUGCGGGAGGACGGGGCCCUGGUGUGGUUUCCUCACACCUUCGGGCAUGUAUGGACUGCGGUUGUCUCAGACGCGGCAGCCCCAUCUGAAGCCUGGAAUGAACUGUCUUCUUUGCUAAAAAAGAAAAAAAAAAAAAAGAACAAAGUCAGGCAUCAGCAAACCCAGUGCACGUGAGCGUCCUUACCAAAAGGAAGGCCUCGGACCCAGACCAGGUGGGGCUUGCGGGCCUGUGGCUCCCUAGAAUCACCAAAGGGAAGGCAAUUUCAAGUCAGGAGGGCCUCCCUCGCUUUCUGCCGAGGAGGAAGCCUCCGGCUGAACCACGAAAAGAGAAGGAAGUUUCCCGCAAGGGCCCGGAUACCUGUCGGCCAGGUCGGUGGAACAGGUACUGUCUUCUUCCCAGGAGAAAGGAAGGGGUGAGGGGAGGGGAGACGGGGGGAGGUAGUGAGGAAAGAGAGGUACAUGGGAGGGGCCUCCCAGAGGCCUCGGGGAGGGCCGGGCUGGAGUCUGGGUUAGCAGAACUCACCUUUCUCAUCGGAGAAAAUGGCAGCGUACGUGUGGCCAAGGCCAACCGCCACAUCCAGCGGAGACAACAUUUAAAUAGAAGGAAGACCUGGACGGUUUGCCAAAAAGACACGGAAGGCGGUGGCUGGAGACACGGGAAAGGUAGUCGGGUUUGUUCCUGUGUCUCUGGGCUUGGCUUCAGGGCUUCCUAUGCUCUCACAGAAAGGCCCUGAGGAGGGACGGCAGCCAGAGUCCUCCCCCCGCCGCCAGGCCUUUGCACAAGGGACGGGGUCCAUGUGUGGGACCAGAGGUCUUGGCAGGGACCGCCCUUCUCCACCAGCAAGGACCCCCAUGGAACCGUUGGGUGUUCUCAGAACGAGGACCACACGCUCACGGCCAUGCCAACUCUGGUUCAUCAGGCUGAGCCACCCAGAAGCCUGCUAGUGGAUCAGCGCAGGUGACCCGCUGGGCCACCCCGAGGUCCUUGAGGGUCACUGCCGUGUCACCACUGCAGUCAGAACUUCAGGAAAGGGGUGAAACGAACUCCUGGAUCUGUCCUCGAAUUUCACUCCGCCAGUGACCCCUGAACCUUGGAACGGGGACUUCUCCAACCUCAGCCCGUUGGCCCAAGCGCGGGGACACAGGAGCAGCGACUUCCUUCUUGGAGAGGAAGCUACUUCCAAACAAACCACCGGGGAGGAAACUGUUCUACGGGCAAAAGUUUUCACAGCCGCCAUUUCUUCCACGGCUCGUGUUUGCCUUCAAGGACAUGUCGCUCACUGACAGAUCGUUCCUCAAUGGGGAAACAUCCCCUGCCCCAAAUCCAAAGUGGCUCCAUCCAUGUCCAAAAUUUCAGAGUUCCAGGAAGAAACGGGAGUUCAGUGCCGACGGAUACGUGACGGGGGAGGUCGGGUCAAACAUGGGCUCCUCACCCGGUCAGGGACCAGAACUCAGAAGGUCCGGGAACUUGGAUAGGGGGAAAAUGGCCUCUUUCCCCUGACUCUGCACUAAAAUGUAGAUCUUCCCCCACCGUGAAUGUAAACAACGUGUCACACUAGCACAUGUCAGCAAGGGCUGUGAUUUCAUCGCCAAUGGAAAUGACAGAUGUUUUCUAUUUAACAGACUCUCAAAAUCUCAUCUCCGCUCUACAACAAAGGUUGUCAUCACACCCGCUGGUCGAUUUUACUUAAUGCAUUAAUAAUGGAAAAAAAAAAAGCACAGAUGUUACUGGCUCAUAAAUUUGUUCUGAUUUUUAGAGGAUUGUAUUUC
Long non-coding RNA from Neofelis nebulosa (Clouded leopard), 5243 nucleotides. RefSeq lists it as uncharacterized. The record is from RefSeq and is a predicted model, not a curated record. Lineage: Eukaryota; Metazoa; Chordata; Mammalia; Carnivora; Felidae. The transcript is spliced from 2 exons.